GCUUAUGGAACAAAAGCUAAAAACGCGGCAUCGUGCGGCAACGCUUUUGUGACCCACAUCCUGUGGG
RNAcentral lists this small RNA (67 nucleotides) under Domibacillus iocasae. Its description in RNAcentral is "Bacillaceae-1 RNA". It matches the Rfam family "Bacillaceae-1 RNA". The record is from Rfam by way of RNAcentral. Lineage: Bacteria; Bacillati; Bacillota; Bacilli; Caryophanales; Bacillaceae.